Molecule: ribosomal RNA, 433 nt
Filed under: uncultured bacterium
Lineage: Bacteria
Description: partial 16S ribosomal RNA
Rfam family: Bacterial small subunit ribosomal RNA
Source: RNAcentral
AACGAACGCUGGCGGCAUGCCUAACACAUGCAAGUCGAACGAGACCUCCGGGUCUUGUGGCGCACGGGUGCGUAACGCGUGGGAACCUGCCCUUAGGUUCGGAAUAACUCCCCGAAAGGGGUGCUAAUACCGGAUAAUGUCUUCGGACCAAAGAUUUAUCGCCUUGGGAUGGGCCCGCGUUGGAUUCGCUAGUUGGUAGGGUAAAAGCAUACCAAGGCGACGUUCCAUAGCUGGUCUGAGAGGAUGAUUAGCCACACUGGGACUGAGACACGGCCCAGAAUCCUACGGAAGGGAGGAGUGGAGAAUAUUGGACAAUGGGGGAAGGCCUGAUCCAGCCAUGCCGGGUAAGUGAUGAAGGCCUUAGGGUUGUAAUGCUCUUUUACCCGGGAUGAUAAUGACGGUACCGGGAGAAUAAGCUCCGGCUAACUACGUG